CCUACGGGAGGCUGCAGUAGGGAAUAUUGCUCAAUGGGGGCAACCCUGAUGCAGCUAUGCCGCGUGGAGGAUGACGGUCUUCGGAUUGUAAACUCCUUUUGUUAAAGAAGAUAAUGACGGUAUCUAACGAAUAAGCAGCGGCCAACUCCGUGCCAGCAGCCGCGGGAAUACGGAGGGUGCGAGCGCUACUCGGAAUCACUGGGCGGAAAGGGCGCGUAGGUGGGUGAGCAAGUCAGAUGUGAAAUCCUAUGGCUUAACCAUAGAACUGCAUUUGAGACUGUUAUUCUAGAGUGUGUGAGAGGGAGGUGGAAUUCUAGGUGUAGGAGUGAAAUCCGUAGAGAUCUGGAAGAAUACUGAUUGCGAAGGCAGCCUGCUAGGACGCAACUGACGCUGAUGCGCGAAAGCGUGGGGAGCAAACAGGAUUAGAUACCCGGGUAGUC
This 440-nucleotide ribosomal RNA is filed under the name uncultured bacterium. Its description in RNAcentral is "partial 16S ribosomal RNA". It matches the Rfam family "Bacterial small subunit ribosomal RNA", at positions 338 to 795 of the family's 1533-position model. The record is from RNAcentral.